Molecule: ribosomal RNA, 468 nt
Filed under: uncultured bacterium
Lineage: Bacteria
Description: partial 16S ribosomal RNA
Rfam family: Bacterial small subunit ribosomal RNA
Source: RNAcentral
GACGAACGCUGGCGGCGUGCUUAACACAUGCAAGUCGAACGGAAAGGCCCUGCUUUUGUGGGGUGCUCGAGUGGCGAACGGGUGAGUAACACGUGAGUAACCUGCCCUUGACUUUGGGAUAACUUCAGGAAACUGGGGCUAAUACCGGAUAGGAGCUCCUGCUGCAUGGUGGGGGGUGGAAAGUUUCGGCGGUUGGGGAUGGACUCGCGGCUUAUCAGCUUGUUGGUGGGGUAGUGGCUUACCAAGGCUUUGACGGGUAGCCGGCCUGAGAGGGUGACCGGCCACAUUGGGACUGCGAUACGGGCCAGACUCCUACGGGAGGCAGCAGUGGGGAAUAUUGCACAAUGGGCGGAAGCCUGAUGCAGCAACGCCGCGUGCGGGAUGACGGCCUUCGGGUUGUAAACCGCUUUCGCCUGUGACGAAGCGUGAGUGACGGUAAUGGGUAAAGAAGCACCGGCUAACUACGUG